This 430-nucleotide ribosomal RNA is filed under the name Pseudomonadota bacterium. RNAcentral's name for it is "Proteobacteria bacterium partial 16S ribosomal RNA". It matches the Rfam family "Bacterial small subunit ribosomal RNA", at positions 355 to 776 of the family's 1533-position model. Lineage: Bacteria; Pseudomonadati; Pseudomonadota. The record is from RNAcentral.
UGGGGAAUAUUGGACAAUGGGGGGAACCCUGACCCAGCCAUGCCGCGUGUGUGAAGAAGGCCUUAUGGUUGUAAAGCACUUUAAGCGAGGAGGAGGGUACUGGUAUUAAUACUACCAGCUACUGGACGUUACUCGCAGAAUAAGCACCGGCUAACUCUGUGCCAUCAGCCGCGGUAAUACAGAGGGUGCAAGCGUUAAUCGGAAUUACUGGGCGUAAAGCGCGCGUAGGUGGUUCGUUAAGUUGAAUGUGAAAGCCCCGGGGUCAACCUGGGAACUGAAUCCAAAACUGGCGAGCUAGAGUAGGGCAGAGGGUGGUGGAAUUUCCUGUGUAGCGGUGGAAUGCGUAGAUAUAGGAAGGAACACCAGUGGCGAAGGCGACCACCUGGGCUCAUACUGACACUGAGGUGCGAAAGCGUGGGGAGCAAACAGG